Molecule: long non-coding RNA, 385 nt
Organism: Misgurnus anguillicaudatus (oriental weatherfish)
Lineage: Eukaryota; Metazoa; Chordata; Actinopteri; Cypriniformes; Cobitidae
Source: RefSeq, a predicted model, not a curated record
AGAAAAAGUGUGGUGAGGAUUGUGGUAACAGCUGACACUGGCACUGAUGUCAGUGACCCAAAUAUCUUAAAGAAGCUUUUGGACAAGAUAAGCAAAGCGGGAAAAAGUCAAGGAGAAUAUUUGGCAAACUGGAGAACACAGCCUGAUGGGAAGGUAUUUCAGGAAAUACGAACAUUGCAGGUCGUAACUGAAUGCAAUAGAGAACAAUAAUCUUAAGUUAUUAUAAUAACAUGAUGCCAAUUCUUCAUGCUCACUUGUCUGUACCCUAUACAGAUAUAACUUGUUUAAAAUACUAAUUGUAUAUAAUAUAAAUAAAAGCAUAAACUUUAUUGAUGCAGAAUAAGGAAGGAGGUGACUUUUAAUGUUUUUACCUAGAUUUAUGGAA